GUAAUGUGUGAUAACGCAAUGACAUACGUACGCCAGCCGGGGUCAAACCCGCGUUUUUUAAAAUGGAGAAGCAGGCACUCAGUGGUUCAGCGAAAAGAAAACAAAAGAAACAAAAAAGAAGCCAAAGAUGCUGCUUUGGUGCAACAAAUACCAUCCACCUCAACAUUGUUUCACCAGAAAACCGAGGCAAGAUGAUGGUACUCAAAACAGCGGAGCCAGGACUACACCUCACCGCUCAGACUACAAGCAGGAUGCUAACGCUGCUAGCUCAAGUUCACCGGAGACGUUUGGUCGUGGUAAAGCGGCACCGCCUCCUAUGGACACCGUCCGGACCAGAACUAUGGCGGACAGCAGCCAACGGACAACGGCAGCCUGACCUUCGUCUGAUCACAUCGCUAGCGGAGGAUGAGGCGGCGGAGAACGGUCGUUUUCGCAAAAUGACCAGGAUAAAAAAUGAACUUCGGACAAAAAUGACCCAGAGACGCCUGAACAGUCUGUCACUCAUGACCAUAGAAGCCGAACUGGUCCGGGAGUUGGAGUUUGAUGACAUUAUCCAGGACUUUUUUUUUUAUCGAGGAAGGCCAGAAAAAGAUGAUGCAGAUUCUGUCCAGCACACACUCUGGAGACUCCUGAUGUGUGUGUGUGUGUGCAAGGAUGGUCGGCAGAUUGGUCAAUGGCAGGGCCGUACAACUGGAUGCCACGGUCUACACUUACAUGGUUUAUCUGUGGCAGAGGAACCGCACAUCACACUAAAAGUAAGAAAUAGGAGGAGAGACAGAGAGCGGGAAGACAGAGAUGCGCGCUAUUAGCGGAUUUGCUUCCACUUCUUCCUGGCAGCCGGAAACAAGGAUCAAAUGAACCAUCUUUGACAUUUGCAAUCUGCCGCUGACAUCACGCAAAGUCUUGUAAGAAGGCCAUUAAAAUGGGCUGCUAGCUGUCAUUUCCACCGCUGCAUCAGCCGCUGUCUGUGCAAGAGGAAGUACAGAAAAAGAAGUGCAAACAGAGAGAGAGAGAGAAGCGGCUGUGAAGGAAGCCAAAGACGCUGCCAAAGACGCAGCAAAAACAAACACCAAGAAAAUGGGAGAGACGGAUACAGAUGAAACAGACGGAGAGAAAAACCGGACAAGACACUAGCAGACAAACAGAAGGAGCAGGCAGGUGCUACUGCCACAUUUGGACAGAGAAACCAAACCAGAAGUACACGCCAAUCACACUGUUUGCUUUGGAGGGAACUGCCUCUUCCCAAAUUUUAACUUGCAGAAACUCACUUUGUUUUCUAGAAUGAUGCAUUUUCAUAAAGUAUAUCUCAUGUCCUGUCGGCAGAUCAUUAAAGCAAAGAAGGCCAAAUAAUUUUUUGCUCUUUUA
Larimichthys crocea (large yellow croaker) is the source of this 1365-nucleotide RNA transcript. RefSeq lists it as uncharacterized. NCBI's taxonomy places the organism in Eukaryota, Metazoa, Chordata, Actinopteri, Sciaenidae. The transcript is spliced from 4 exons. The record is from RefSeq and is a predicted model, not a curated record.